This 450-nucleotide ribosomal RNA is filed under the name uncultured organism. Its description in RNAcentral is "partial 16S ribosomal RNA". It matches the Rfam family "Bacterial small subunit ribosomal RNA", at positions 330 to 797 of the family's 1533-position model. The record is from RNAcentral.
ACUACACUCCUGCGGGAGGCAGCAGUGGGGAAUAUUGGACAAUGGGCGCAAGCCUGAUCCAGCCAUGCCGCGUGAGUGAUGAAGGCCCUAGGGUUGUAAAGCUCUUUCACCGGUGAAGAUAAUGACGGUAACCGGAGAAGAAGCCCCGGCUAACUUCGUGCCAGCAGCCGCGGUAAUACGAAGGGGGCUAGCGUUGUUCGGAUUUACUGGGCGUAAAGCGCACGUAGGCGGACUAUUAAGUCAGGGGUGAAAUCCCGGGGCUCAACCCCGGAACUGCCUUUGAUACUGGUAGUCUUGAGUUCGAGAGAGGUGAGUGGAAUUCCGAGUGUAGAGGUGAAAUUCGUAGAUAUUCGGAGGAACACCAGUGGCGAAGGCGGCUCACUGGCUCGAUACUGACGCUGAGGUGCGAAAGCGUGGGGAGCAAACAGGAUUAGAUACCCUAGUAGUCCC